AUGGCCGCUUGCGAGGUGCUGUAUGGUUGUCGUCAGCUCGUGCCGUGAGGUGUCGGGUUAAGUCCCAUAACGAGCGCAACCCCUACUGCUAGUUGCCAGCGGGUCAUGCCGGGGACUCUAGCGGAACUGCCAGCGUAAGCUGCGAGGAAGGUGGGGAUGACGUCAAAUCAGCACGGCCCUUACGUCCAGGGCUACACACGUGUUACAAUGGCCAGUACAGAGGGCAGCCACCCCGCGAGGGGGCGCUAAUCCUAAAAGCUGGUCCCAGUUCGGAUCGGAGUCUGCAACCCGACUCCGUGAAGCUGGAUUCGCUAGUAAUCGCGCAUCAGCCACGGCGCGGUGAAUACGUUCCCGGGCCUU
Molecule: ribosomal RNA, 360 nt
Filed under: uncultured Rikenellaceae bacterium
Lineage: Bacteria; Pseudomonadati; Bacteroidota; Bacteroidia; Bacteroidales; Rikenellaceae
Description: bacterial SSU rRNA
Rfam family: Bacterial small subunit ribosomal RNA
Source: RNAcentral